UUUUAGCAACAUCUAUGCAAAACUGUUAACUGCUACCUAAAAUGAUAACGAUUAUUAAAGUUGAUUAAAAAUAAGAUAUCGUCAACAACAAUUUUAAAGAAGAAUGUAGGACGAAGUGAACCACUUCCUAAGUGAACCAGGACUAAGUGAACCACUUGGCAGUGUGCCAUCACACAAUAGCCACUAUAUAAUACAUAUGUGGUUCACUUGGUCCUGAAAUGGUACACUAAGGAACUGGUUCACUUGUGAAAUGGUUCACUUCGUCCUGCACCCUUUAAAGAACUAGCAAGUAUUAUUUAAACAUGGUUUGUGUUACGACUAUUUAUUUAUUCAAUUCAUUAUGUUACCGGGCGCUUAUCGUUGGGGUUAAAUGAUCACUUGAUAAGCAGUGUUGAAAUCAAUAUAGUCUCUCAUCCUGGAUGUUUGAUCGAAUUGCAGAACACGAUGUAUCUCUUUAAUCUAGAGACCCAAUUGUGUCAGUGGAAGGUCGUUGUGUAGAUCAUGAAGAUGUUCAGGAUAUCGCAAACUCACUUCAAGGAUAUACCCCUUUGAACCAUCAACAGAAAAGGUUGUGACUCAGCAGGGUAUAGAGAAGCGAUUAUGCUGUAUAGGAAUCACUUCUGAUCAGAGUUUUCAAUAUUCAAAAUGCAGUUUGAUUUUCGCAAAGUUGAAGGCAGCUCCAUAUAGCUAGAACCCUUUAUUGACAAUGCAACUCGUCCACCAUGUUGUGUAUCUUGAUGCAUUUUGCUAACAUGAUCAACAAGAUCUCGUUUCCAAUUUAUCAGAACCAGUGGGAUAUUGUAAAACAAGCCCAUCAAGAAAUCUAUCCUGAGACGACAUUGUGUGAGAAAACGAUGGUAGUCUGAUGUGGGAGGAUGUCUGUGCGCAACUUAUAACUAGGGUUGCUGUGUGGUGAAAUAUCCACAAAUUGCCUACAGACAUGAGAUCAGCAUCAAACUGUUCAUCAAUAGAAGACACUCGUACUUGGGCCAUUCUAAACUUUCGACGAACCUGUUUGGAAGUAGCAUAACUAGUUUGUUUAUCCAACCAUUGACGAAUGAACUGUUUUGUGAAUAGUCCUGGAUAUUUUUUAUUCAAUAUUGCAUAUAAUGUUUGUGAUCCUCUGUAUGAUGCUAUAAUUGAACUAUUAAAAUAACAGUUUUUUAA
This is a long non-coding RNA of Mya arenaria, 1167 nucleotides long. RefSeq lists it as uncharacterized. The transcript has 9 exons. NCBI's taxonomy places the organism in Eukaryota, Metazoa, Mollusca, Bivalvia, Myida, Myidae. The record is from RefSeq and is a predicted model, not a curated record.